CCUACGGGGGGCACCAGUGGGGAAUUUUCCGCAAUGGGCGAAUGCCUGACGGAGCAAUGCCGCGUGGAGGUAGAAGGCCCACGGGUCGUGAACUUCUUUUCCCGGAGAAGAAGCAAUGACGGUAUCUGGGGAAUAAGCAUCGGCUAACUCUGUGCCAGCAGCCGCGGUAAUACAGAGGAUGCAAGCGUUAUCCGGAAUGAUUGGGCGUUAAGCGUCUGUAGGUGGCUUUUUAAGUCCGCCGUCAAAUCCCAGGGCUCAGCUCUGGACAGGCGGUGGAAACUACCAAGCUGGGGUAUGGUAGGGGCAGAGGGAAUUUCCGGUGGAGCGGUGAAAUGCGUAGAGAUCGGAAAGAACACCAACGGCGAAUGCACUCUGCUGGGCCGACACUGACACUGAGAGACGAAAGCUAGGGGAGCGAAUGGGAUUAGAUACCCCCGUAGUC
This 442-nucleotide ribosomal RNA is filed under the name uncultured bacterium. Its description in RNAcentral is "bacterial SSU rRNA". It matches the Rfam family "Bacterial small subunit ribosomal RNA", at positions 338 to 795 of the family's 1533-position model. The record is from RNAcentral.